UGGGAGAAAAACCCAGGACCCCGGAGCCUACGCCGUAUCCAAUUGAAUCCAACCUCCAACCGAGGCGAUGGCGGGGGCGGGGAGCCCCCCCGAAGGCAGACACUAAGGAGACAAAAAAAUGCAAGUGGCUUAAGAGCGAGGAUUUGUUUUUCCGAAUCUACCCCCCCAACAAACCGGUCAGCCAAGAAGCCAAGAAAGCGCUGAGACGAGAAGCGGCGGCGGCUGCUAAGGUACUGAUGGACGGACGGCGACUAAGGAGAGGGGAAAAAAUCCUUGGCUGGUGAUGUCGGAAAGCUGUUUGAAUGCCCAGCGAGGAGGGAGGCGCGGGAGGGCGCGAGAUAGUAAAGCUCUGUAUUGGGUGUGCGCGCGGCGCUCGGUCUCCUCGGGCGCGUGAGGGAGGGGGAGCGCGGUCCCGAGGCGCGCUCCGGGCCCCGCGUGCUCGUGGACGCGCGCGUCCAGCGCGGUGCGCCCGGCGGCCGCCCGGGGCUCCACGCGCGCAGCGCGGCCGCGGCGCCUCCAGGAGCUCAGCCUGGCGCGGGCGCGGGCGGGGCGCUGAGAGAGCGGCGGCGCUAGGCGGGAGGACGCGCGGGAGGCAGAGGGGCUGGGAGAGCUUAGCCCGGGCCACCGAGCGCCAGCACGUCACGACUGCUCCAAACCCUGCACGUCCCGGGAGCUGCGCUUUCUGCGUCUGGGAGCGCCGACCUGUCGCAACCCAAGAGCUGUCAUUUCCGCACCGGGAUUCGGAGGGAUGGAUCGCCCGCCACGAAGGGGGCUGGUCUCGGUCCCCGAACUGCUCUGUCCCCGGGUGGAACAAUGCUAGUUUUUCUCUGCUAGGCUGCAAUUAA
This 845-nucleotide long non-coding RNA is filed under the name Sus scrofa (pig). RNAcentral's name for it is "lncRNA (ENSSSCG00070007040.1)". The record is from RNAcentral. Lineage: Eukaryota; Metazoa; Chordata; Mammalia; Artiodactyla; Suidae.